GAUGAACGCUGGCUACAGGCUUAACACAUGCAAGUCGAGGGGAAACGACGGGGAAGCUUGCUUCCCCGGGCGUCGACCGGCGCACGGGUGAGUAACGCGUAUCCAACCUGCCUCUGACUGAGGGAUAACCCGUCGAAAGUCGGCCUAAUACCUCAUGGCAUCGUCUGCGGGCAUCCAACGACGAUUAAAGAUUUCAUCGGUCAGAGAUGGGGAUGCGUCUGAUUAGCUUGUUGGCGGGGUAACGGCCCACCAAGGCGACGAUCAGUAGGGGUUCUGAGAGGAAGGUCCCCCACAUUGGAACUGAGACACGGUCCAAACUCCUACGGGAGGCAGCAGUGAGGAAUAUUGGUCAAUGGGCGAGAGCCUGAACCAGCCAAGUAGCGUGCAGGAUGACGGCCCUAUGGGUUGUAAACUGCUUUUAUGCGGGGAUAAAGUGAGGGACGUGUCCUUCAUUGAAGGUACCGCAUGAAUAAGGACCGGCUAAUUCCGUG
Molecule: ribosomal RNA, 491 nt
Filed under: uncultured bacterium
Lineage: Bacteria
Description: partial 16S ribosomal RNA
Rfam family: Bacterial small subunit ribosomal RNA
Source: RNAcentral